AGACUUUCGGAGGAGGUAAUGACCAGUUCCAUUGAUGCCAUUUGGUAUUGUGGAUAGGGGUACGGUUUUCCACCGUACCGAAACCUAGCAGAGGGCCAGUCUGGUGCCAGCAGCUGCGGUAAUUCCAGCUCUGCGAGUUUGCUCCCAUAUUGUUGCAGUUAAAACGCCCGUAGUCUGAAUUGGCCAGCAAUGGUCGUAUGUAUUUAUACGUUCACUGUGAACAAAUCAGGACGCUUAGAGUAUGGUUUCAUGAAUGACUCAGCGCAGUAUGAAGUCUUUGUUUUCUUCCGAAAACAAGCUCAAUGAGAGCCAUCGGGGGUAGAUCUAUCUCAUGACGAGUGGUGGAAUACUUUGACUCAUGAGAGAGAAUCUGAGGCGAAGGCGUCUACCUAGAGGGUUUCUGUCGAUCAAGGGCGAGAGUAGGAGUAUCCAACAGGAUUAGAGACCCUGGUAGUUCCUACCUUAAACGAUGCCGACAGGAGUUUGUCACUUGUUAGUGGCAGAAUCUUUGGAGAAAUCAUAGUUCUUGGGCUCUGGGGGAACUACGACCGCAAGGCUGAAACUUGAAGGAAUUGACGGAAGGGCACACCAGGGGUGGAGCCUGUGGCUUAAUUUGAAUCAACACGGGGAAACUUACCAGGACCAGAUGUUUUUUAUGACUGACAGGCUUUGGGUCUUUCAGGAUAUUGCUUUUGGUGGUGCAUGGCCGUUGGUGGUGCGUGGGUUGACCUGUCUAGCGUUGAUUCAGCUAACGAGCGAGAUUAUCGCCAAUUAUCUACUUCGUCUAAGUCUUUAGAUGGAAGUUCUAAUUGGGACUCCCUGCGAUUUUAGCAGGUGGAAGAGGGUAGCAAUAACAGGUCCGUGAUGCCCUUUAGAUGCUCUGGGCUGCACGCGUGCUACAAUGUUAGGAUCAAUAGGACUGCAAAGCCGAGAGGCCGCGCUACUCUUAUAAUCCCUAACGUAGUUGGGAUUGACGUUUGUAAUCAGCGUCAUGAACCAGGAAUCCCUUGUAAAUGUGUGUCAACAACGCACGUUGAAUACGUCCCUGCCCUUUGUACACACCGCCCGUCGCUCCUACCGAUUGGAUGACUCGGUGAAAUCACCGGAUGCUUACGAGCAGAAAGUGAU
Molecule: ribosomal RNA, 1128 nt
Filed under: Trichomonas gallinae
Lineage: Eukaryota; Parabasalia; Trichomonadida; Trichomonadidae
Description: SSU rRNA
Rfam family: Eukaryotic small subunit ribosomal RNA
Source: RNAcentral